This is a non-coding RNA of Chiua virens, 82 nucleotides long. NCBI's taxonomy places the organism in Eukaryota, Fungi, Basidiomycota, Agaricomycetes, Boletales, Boletaceae. The record is from the annotation of a GenBank genome assembly.
UCUCUGGUAGUAUAUCGGACAGUACACCCGCCUGUCAAAUGAUGGUUCGCGGGAGAGCGGGGUUCGACUCCCCGCCAGAGAG